Molecule: transfer RNA, 34 nt
Filed under: Meliosma gracilis
Lineage: Eukaryota; Viridiplantae; Streptophyta; Magnoliopsida; Proteales; Sabiaceae
Description: partial tRNA-Leu
Source: RNAcentral
GCCGCCAUGGUGAAAUCGGUAGACACGCUGCUCU